GAUGAAGAACGUAGUGAAAUGCGAUAAGUAAUGUGAAUUGCAGAAUUCAGUGAAUCAUCGAAUCUUUGAACGCACAUUGCGCCCCUUGGUAUUCCGAGGGGCAUGCCUGCUCGAGCGUCAUUAUAACCCCUCAAGCUCAGCUUGGUGUUGGGGCCUGCUGCACUGGCAGCCCUUAAAAUCAGUGGCGGCGCCAUCUGGCUCUAAGCGUAGUAAUUCUUCUCGCUAUGGAGUCCUGGUGGAUGCUUGCCAUCAACCCCCAAUUUUUCUAUGGUUGACCUCGGAUCAGGUAGGGAUACCCGCUGAACUUAAGCAUAUCAAUAAGCGGAGGA
Molecule: unclassified non-coding RNA, 329 nt
Filed under: soil metagenome
Description: partial contains 5.8S ribosomal RNA, internal transcribed spacer 2, and large subunit ribosomal RNA
Rfam family: 5.8S ribosomal RNA (bases 1-120)
Source: RNAcentral